UAGCAAACUCAAAUUUUUGGGUCAAAGCUUAGUUGGCUAGUGAUGAAGGCAUCAAUGGGCAUAUUCCUGUGAGAAGGCCAAAGUAGAGUUGAAUUACAACCCUAGAAGCUUGAAAGAAGGGCUGGAAGAGGUUCUAUCGUGGCGUAUGAACAUAGGAUGUGGCAUUUGUUGUUGAUGGUUGGGCUCUUGAAAUUGCACUUAAGCAUUAUCGAACAGCUUUUAUAGAAUUAGCAAUAUUGUCAAGGACUGCUAUAUGUUGUCGGGUAACACCAUCACAGAAAGCACAGCUUGUGGAGAUUUUAAAAUCAUGUGAUUAUAGAACAUUGUCCAUUGGGGAUGGACGGAAUGAUGUAAGAAUGAUACAACAAGCUGACAUUGGAGUUGGA
Humulus lupulus (European hop) is the source of this 386-nucleotide long non-coding RNA. RefSeq lists it as uncharacterized. The record is from RefSeq and is a predicted model, not a curated record. The transcript has 3 exons. NCBI's taxonomy places the organism in Eukaryota, Viridiplantae, Streptophyta, Magnoliopsida, Rosales, Cannabaceae.